This 523-nucleotide unclassified non-coding RNA is filed under the name Melitaea cinxia (Glanville fritillary). RNAcentral's name for it is "misc RNA ENSMCXG00005018761.1". Lineage: Eukaryota; Metazoa; Arthropoda; Insecta; Lepidoptera; Nymphalidae. The record is from RNAcentral.
UUUUGUGUAAGUUACAUCAGAACUUUUGACCGGGUAGACCGAUUUCGACAAAUUUUGUUUUAAUCGAAAGGUGGUGUGUGCCAAUUGGUCCCAUUUAAAUUUAUUUGAGAUCUAACAACUCCUUUACGAGCUAUAUCUAAUAAUGCGUUUUUACUUGACGCUUUUUUCGUCGACCUACGUUGUAUUAUACCGCAUAACUUUCUACUGGAUGUACCGAUUUUGAUAAUUCUUUUUUUGUUGGAAAGGAGAUAUCCCAAGUUUAGUACCAUGAUAAGGAAACCAGGAUCUGAUGAUGGGAUCCUAGAGAAAUCGAGGGAAACUCUUGAAAAUCCGCAAUAACUUUUUACUAGGUGUACCGAUUUUAAUGAUUUUUAAUUUAAUCGAAAGCCGAUGAUUAUCAUGUAGUCACAUUUAAAUUUCAUCGAGAUCUGAUAACUACUUUUUGAGUAAUCUUUGAUAAUGCGUUAUUACUUGACUAUUUUUUCGUCGAUCUGCGUUGUAUUACUCGUCGAUGUAAUUGAAG